AAUAACAAUAAAGUAAUCUUUCAUGAUUCAUAAACUAAAGUUAAUUAGGAAUAUGUGUUAGAUUUAACUUUUAUAAAAUUAAAGUGACAUUUGAAAAUAAAAUGAAAACAAGCUUGUGAAAAUUAAAUUUGGGAAAUUAUCAGUCAUAUACCCUAUAUUUGCUACAAUACUUUGAGGGUGUAUCAAUUGUCCACCCUUAGUUGACAAAAUAUAUCAGUCGACCACCAAACCGUUAAUUAUCGUUUGAAAGUUAACGGAGUUAUAGCGAAUUGACGAUUUUACCCUUGAAAAUUAUAACGUGUAUACCCUUAAAUUCUCUUUUUAUCACUUGUAUACCCUUAAAUUAUCACUUGUAUCAUAUGAAAAGACCAAAUUACCCUUUUGACGUCAUCAUACUUAAACGGCAACUAACAGUUUGGUGGUCAGCUGAUACAUUUUGUCAACUUAGGGUGGACGAUUGAUACACCUUCAAAGUGUUGUAGUAUUUUUGAUAAUGGAGUAAACUAAGGGUAUACAAAUAAUAAUUUCCCAUUAAAUUUUAUAAGGCUCAGAUAA
RNAcentral lists this long non-coding RNA (555 nucleotides) under Citrus x clementina. RNAcentral describes it as "Citrus clementina (C. clementina) long non-coding RNA (CCLE_LNC005439)". The record is from RNAcentral. Lineage: Eukaryota; Viridiplantae; Streptophyta; Magnoliopsida; Sapindales; Rutaceae.